Molecule: long non-coding RNA, 17572 nt
Filed under: Gallus gallus (chicken)
Lineage: Eukaryota; Metazoa; Chordata; Aves; Galliformes; Phasianidae
Description: lncRNA (ENSGALG00010023745.1)
Source: RNAcentral
GGAGCACAGGUGAAGGCAGUUCACCUGUGUGACUGGAAGGGGUGGAGCCUGCCUGCACCUCUCUUAGACCUCCAUUUAAGGGCUGACUGCCACUUGGGAAGGAUCUUUUUCUGGAGAUUCUUCCCUGGUGGAGCUUUCCCCUGAGGACCUGGAAUCUUCUGACGUGUGUAACAGUGCCUGAGGAGAUACAUUAAGGGAAACAGAAGGCUCCUCUUCCUCAUCUCUAACGUGUUUGGCUGCAGACACCACAAGCUGAAAUUCUGAGUGACAAGCAUCAUUUCUAAGACCACAAUUUCACUUGGAAAAGUGGAGCAGAGUUGGAGGAGGAGAUGGAGGAAGAGAGAUUAAACAACUCAGAAAACAGAUGGAGAAAUGGAAUAGAAUCACUACUGGUUUAACUUUAAAAUCACCUCAGUGGAUAUUUUCAACAUUGGACAGCAAGGCAUACAUUUUCAUAAAAUACAAAGGAAAAAGUAAUACGAAAGCAAAGAAACAUCAAUCUUCUGGUAAGUUCAAAUAUGCUAUUUUUAUGCUGUGAGACUGUGGAAGGUGAGAUGCAGCCUCACUUUAGUAGUGUGCUGAUAAUCUAUGUUUAUGUUUUAAAAAAGCACAAGGCACAAACAUUAUUUUCAAAGACUGGAUGCUUUCUCCCUUUCUGUACUAAGUUUGUGCUUAUGUCUUGUAUAAUGAUGUCUUAUGAGUUUAAUUUUCAAAUACCAUUUUUAAAUGUACAUUCAGCUACAGUUGUUGAAGUGGGGAAAAAAAUAAAGGUUUCCAUGCAAAAUUUAGCACCAUUCCAUCAAGGUUUAUAUAAGAGACCCAAUCAGGCCAGGAUCCAUCAACUGGAAUCUUCAAGAAACUCUUGGGUAGUUCUUUUCCUCAUUUUUGCUGCCACCACCGAUGAGCAACUUGGUUUUCCUUUACGAAGUUCACUCCUUACUCUGCCAAAAGAGUCUUGGCAAAUAUUUUUUACAUGAAACAGACGGUCUGUAAUUAAAUGCUUGUAGAUGGCUGAACACAGUGCAUUAUGAAUGCUCUGGGACAUAUAAACAUCCUACAAGAAGAAUUUUGUCUAUAAUAUGAGUGAUCAAAAUGAAUGAAUUCUAAGCACAAUUUGAUAAAAUCUGUAAGACAACACAGCAACACUUCUGUCCCAUUAAAACUACUGUGAGAGUACUAUUGUUCUACCGUACCUUUAAAAAGCUCUGGAGAUCACCAAAGAAAGGAAGAUUUUUCAUGUUUUACUCCAGAGAAAAGAGCCAAUGCACCCCAAAGCACAGCUCAGGCAAAAGAACAUACAUGAAACCUGUAAACAUUAACAGCAAUUCUUCUGGAUGUAGGAUCUGAAUGUUUUUGCUUUCUUCCCCCAAAUAAUCCAGUCCUUCCUUUCUGCAGAUCUUGUAUCAGUAGGCUUAUAGUAAGGUUGAUCAACUGUUAACUUUUCAAUUGUGAUUUUGACUUGUGCACCACUUUGCAGCAACAGAUGAAAGAUACAAGAAUUCUUCCACUGCUUGCCUGAGAAGUGGAGUGAAGCAUUUGUGGAUUCUGUGCCAUGUUAAUAUGGACAGGUAGCUUCAGUGGAAUACUUCCCAUUGUGAAGAUGUAUCUACAGGACUUCUGGAUGAGAGUAUUCAUCUUGACCAAUCUUUAGCAUGUACACAUUAUGCAUUGCCCAAGUGCAACUUUCUCAUUUGAUCCCAGUUUCCAAAUGACUUUCCAUUAUCUCAAGCUCUAAUAGAUUACUUAGUGUAGUCUGUAUGUAUAAGUCUAUAUGUCUAGUAUUAGAUAUGGAGGUUGGUGGCCCUGCAUGCGGCAGGGGGACUGGAGCUUGAUGAUCCUUGAGGUCCCUUCCAACACAAGCCAUUCUAUGAAUCUGUGAAAAAAGUAAACAUAAUGCACCUGAAUUGCCACUCCCAAGAAAAGCAACAUGACUCCAGCUUAAGGGCAUAUACCGGCUCAUGUGGGAGCAUGUUUAAAACGGGUUGGGAAAUGUUGAAUAUUUGGUUUUGAUUGAAAAAAAAUAUUUUGACAUUUCGGAACUGAUUUUUUUUCUAAACGUGUUGGUCUUUGGAUGAAAAUAGUUUUAAAAAUAUCAGCUUCUUUCCCUAUGAAGGAAAUUUCAUCUGUCAACUGGCUGUACCAUCCAAAACUAGUCAAAGGCAGGAAUAAGUAGAAAACACAUGUCCUAAAUAGGUACCUCUCUGUCUAUUGCUGAGCCCAAGUUUAGCUCAAAUGGAAUCGUUUGGAUUGGGUUGCUUGUCUUUUUUUAAUGGCCUAAUUUUGUAGCAGUAGCCAUGACUAUCAUAACAACCAAAACAAGAAAAACAUGGAAUUGGACUUAGAGUUAGUACAUUUUGUCUGCCUGUGAAGACAAAGUCCAACUCAAACCUCUCACUCCUAAACACAUGCUAAUUUUUUAGAUUUGACUGGAUUUUAGGUUUUAAGAUGCACAGCUUCUAAUGUAAAUCUCUCUCUGCUACCAUUAACUACAUCAGAUACAGUUAUGAGGAAUGAUCUGUAGGCUUACAUAUUUCUCUAACAGGUUCUAUACCACCUUGGAGUUAUUCAGUUACAAAGAGAGAGAAAGAAACUGUUUUUAUGCCAAAUCCUUUGUCCUCCGUAAUUUUGGGAGCAUGUGGGAUUUCUGCCUGGCAGGUCAUUCUGCUCUGAUUUCUAAGGUUCCUUCAUUAGGAGGUGUAGUGGAAAUGCUAAGUCAUGGCCUGAAACAGUGAUUGAGCACCUGGUGGGAAGGCAGGGCCAACCCAGGAGAGCUCAGCUGCAUGCAAUCCACCUGAGUGAUUGGAAGGGUUGCAGUCAGGAUCCACCCCUUCCCAGACCUCAUUUAAGGGUUGGCAGUAGAGGCAAAGGUAUUGUGCUGGAGAUCCCUGCCUACUGGAGGUCUUCUAAAGGUAAGCAGUUUUUCUUCUUCUGUUUCUGUGUUCCCACCUGCUGUAUUUGGGCUUGUUCUCAUUUGCUGCAGCCUAGGAUAGUGUUACUCUGCUACUAUUGCUAUACUUUCCAUCGUGUUAUAGGUGAGAUAGCUGAUAGUCGCUCAGUCUGAAAGAGACCUGCUCAUCAUUUCAAUCCAGUGGCAAUGGGUUCCCCUGAGUGUCUCCCUUCUUCCACACAUUUCUUCCUCUUUAUGUUCCUAAUGCUAGGACCUGCAAAGUAUCCUGCAUGAGUUUUGCUAUCAACAUCUCUGUUCGGUAGCUACAGCAGAGGAUUUCUCUUCCAGCCGUACACAGAUACUUGUAUUCCCUGUUUCUUAAUAUAUUGAAAAGUAAAGGUAUUUGACUCAGCAUCCUGGCUGAUCUUUACUUACCUCCAUGAAACACUUUUUCUGCCUAAUAAGUAAAAACUCAGAGAAUGUGAAGGACAACCUGCAAAAGAGAGUAGGCAUGGCAUGACUACAUGCAACUGUGAAAGGAAACUUGCAAUAUUUAUUGUCCCCUUUCUUAAGGGUCAGUUUUUGGACCUGGGUUCAUCUAGCUUUAGAAUUUCCCACCACUGCAACACACCAUCUACUUGGAAAGGGGCUAAUCACAGGGUCUUUUUCUAGGUAGUUUGUAGUUACCUCUGUUGGUGUUAAAUUAAUCCCUUCACCUUUCUUCUCUGUUAGGCCUCUCUGCGUUCUUCCACUUACUUAAAAAGCAAAGUAUCUUUGAAUAAAGCUUUCUUAUUUUACAGUAAUUUUGGUGUUAGCACUGGGGAAAUACUUUAGGCACAAGAUUAUUGCCAACAAUCCUUUAUUUUCUGAAAGAAAAAUAGGAUGUUUCUUGGCAACACCAUCUGUGAGAAAUAGGAUCCUCCCAAACAUUUGGGAAAAAUCCCUACUGCCAGCUCCCACACAUCACAUUAUUUUUCCCUUGGUAUUAUGUUGUCUCUUAAAACAAUGACUUACGUGAAGAAGUAGAAACCAACUGAGUCAAAUGCAGACUUUACUUAUAUACUCAUCAUCUGGAGUGAGAGCCACAUCACUGCCAUGGUGUCAGGAAGCCGGAGGCACACAUGUUGGUCCCUUGUACAGGGCCCUAGAGCAAUCUAGGUAUCAAAUGUGUAUGUAAUAGCCUGGUAUUGCUGGUUUAUUGCUAUCUGUGAAAAGCUAUAGGAAGAGGAUUUGUUACCUGGAGCACAACUUCCCAAAUCUCAGUCAGGACUGAGACUGUUCAUGAUUCAGAUCAACAUGUGGGAAGAAAUUAGCUGUCUUUACUAUCAGUGUGUUCAGCCUGUAGUAUAAUACGGCACUGAAUGUGGAGUUACAAGACCUUGUUUCAAGAAAAACUGUUGUGCAAUGUUUCUGGACAUACUGUUUGAUCCUGUUUUCUUUCACUCUGUGCAUGCGUCAUUUCUUUGUCUCCAGUGAACAGCAAAUUGAGUCAUGACUUUGAAUCUUGAAACAGGUGAACUAACUGGGAGGGAGUGAGAUGAUGGACUCAGACACAGCUUGUUUCCCCCAGCUCUCUCCCCUCCAGCACAAAUCAGCUUAAAAGAAGAAAGGAGAGGGAAAAAAAAAAAAAAAAAAAAAAAGGAACAAUAAAGUGACUGAGAUGGCAGGGAGUAGAAAGACCUGAUUUUCAUUGAAAUCACUUUCAAAGCAGAAUCUGAAGCAAAAAAAUGGAAACUAUUUGGAAGAAGGGCAAUGUUUUUUUCAGCUAUCCAAAUAGGAAACUGGGAGAGAUGGAGUCUGAACUUCUUGUUGGAAAUGCAUCUUUUGUGAGGGAUAAGAGAGAAUUGUAAGGGACAAAUUGGAGAUGUGAUAGAUUACUUGUGGUUGUGACUCUUCAGCAGAGAAAAGGAAAGGAUGUUAUUAAUUACAGGUUUAUGGAAAAAUCUCAUAAAAGAAAGAAAAGAGUGGUAAACAUGAACAUGACUCAGGGGAUUUAGAAUGUAAUGCAAACCUAAAAAUGUGACCAGUGACAACCAGGCAGACAAACUAUAAAUACAAGUAGUCAUGAGAAGCUGGCCUGGUAUAAAUGACCUUAGGAAUUUGAGGCAGAAAAGCACAUUACAUUCGAGGUGUUGAACCCAAGUCCUAAAUAAAUGCUUAAAACACUCCCAGGAUUGGAUAUUUCUAUUACUGUUUUCACAAAUUUCCUUUCCAGAGAAGUCUGUUCUGGACAGCACGUCUGACCUCCUGUGUUACUCAGGUCAUGUAGUUUCUCCCAGCCAUUUCUUUAUCAAGCCUCAAACCCUGAAGUUGAAUGAGAGCCUAUCUUUCAAAGGGCAGUAUGUCUUGCAUAGAAGAUUCCAGCUGGUAGUUCACAGAGCUCUGGUCAGUUGCGUUUUCCAUUUAAAAGCCCAUCCUGUUUCUGCGUUGAACCUUGUAGCUUUCAGCUUCUAGCUAUUGGGCCUUCACAUGUCUUUGAUUACCAGAUUUAAGUGCUUUAAGGGUUAUUAUUAUUCCCAGCUCUGCAAAUUCCAUCCAUAGGGUAUAAAUGCCAAUGCAGGCAGGAUUAUGAGAGGAGAAACCUCCUCUGUUAACACAGAUGUUGCCCACUGUUUGGAACUUUGCAAAAUCUGGUUCAACAGGCAAAGUGAGCUGAAGAAGAUGAUGGUUUCAAGUAUAAAACUGUAGCAAAUGCAAGUAUUUUCCCUACUUAAGUAGGACUCUCAUGAGAAGAUAGACGUUCCUGAAGUGAGAAAGAUCUUUCCUGUAUACUUAUCAACACAGAGCUGAGUGGAAUUAUUUAAGAUCAACAAUCAACUAGGCAGGAAACUUGAUUACACUGACCAGCUGUACCAAGCUCCUUGCUGCUUUCAUCUUGUGGGGAAAAACCCCCCUCAACUUAUUUAUUUUUAAAAGUGAGAGAAGGAAAGAUUGUCCAGCCCUAAACACUUUGUUUUCAGACUUACUGAAGAAUUCAGUGGUAGGUGCAUUUGGCAUGAGUUUGGAUUCAAACUUAUUUUACGUAAUAUCAGAGUAUUCUCAUGAAACCAGAAGUUAGCCUAUCAAAUUGUAGCACAGAAUAAUUUAAGAUUCCUGUCAAGCUCAUUUGAAAGUAUUUCUUUUUCUGUUCUUUGUGCGAGAUUCCCAUUUGUACCUCUCUGAAACUGAAUAUAAAGAACUCCAUAUAAUCUAUGGUUUACAUUAUUAUUGCACCAGUUUUGAGAAUAAAUCUAUUUUUAAGAUGUACGGUAAAGAACGUACCACAUGUCAAAGAAUUGCUGUUGCACAUUCUCCCUCUGAGCAGCACUACGGCUCUCCUGCCUGUAUUGCAAACAGUUUUUUUUUUAAUAAAAAAAAAAAGCAGGCCUCUUUUCCCAGGCUCCUGUUAGAUGUGAGCUGUCUUCCUGAGAGCUGUAUUUUCAUCUUGCUAUAUUUAAAAAAAAAAAAAAAAGUCUAGUUUUAGCAUAAAGUAAUUACCACAAGCUUAUUAGUGUGCCUGACUCAGGCACUGCAGGCUGGGCAGAUGUCUAAUGUGCACACAUUCUUUGACAAACUUUUAUACAGCCACAGAUGAGUCUGGGGAAAAAAAAAAAAAAGCAUAGCAAUGAAUUCCUGCAGAUGGAUUAAAAAUUAAAAACAAUGAUACCUUCAGAAGAAGACAGCAUGAGGUGUGUAUUAACUCUUUUUUAUCUUCACUACUGAUAGUAAGUGUUAUCUAGAUCUAAGAAUAACAGUCUGUGAAAUGUCUCACACUCCUGAAAGGGGGAUAGCUUUGAAGUUUCUUCUCAUCACUAAAUAGGAUUUCUGCUCUGUGGAGCUCUUUUUUGGAAGGUGCCUCCUGCAGCAGCUUUUCAUUAUUCACCCUUCAGUACCCCCUGCAAGACCUUCCCAUCUCAGCACGCUCCCUAUUGUCCAUAUUCACAUAGAAUGCAAAGGAGGACAGGGAGAAAGCCAUCCACAGCUGAAGGCAACCUGUCCAAGUUCUGCACCAGUAACAUCACACCGAUCAGUGGGGACGUUGCUCUCUAAAGGAUACAGGAUGACAGGAGAAGGGCAAUAACACUUUUUGCAUCCCUGGAUUAUGGGUCCUUUAUUGAUUAUAGCCACAAAUGUAGAUGAAGUAUUAUGAAGCUUGUUUACAGUGUUAUCUGCUUGCCUGCCAGUCAUUGAUUCUCUCUGUUAACAUCUUCACUUCUAAGUACAAGAACAGAAGAAGAGCCUUCAGAUGUUCCAUCUUUAGAUAUCUGCACCUUUAUUGCUGUUAAAACUCAAGUAGGACCUAUUUCAAUAUUUCAAGAAACUGUUCUGGUGACAAAGUUACAGCUUCUGGAAUGGUUGUUUUUACAUACUUAGCAUCAAGAGCAAUCACAGUUUUGAUGAACUUGCCCAGGUUCCUCUUCUGACUGUAUGGGCAAGCUCAGGAUGAGAGAUUUCAGUUCAUACUUUCUUUUUUUGGUCUUUCUGCAAAAGGAUCCUGGAAAGCAGUAGCUUGUUUGCUUUCUACCUUCUGUUGUAUAUAUUGUAAGCAAAAAAAAUAAUAAUAAUUAAAAGACAAGAUCUCCCUUACCAAGAUUUCUCUUCUUUGUUAUGCAAAUAGCAGGCAGACUUUCACUCCUGAUUCUUCUUUCUAAAGGCUUUCUGGUUCAAUGAAUCUGAAUUUGGUUUAUUCCACCAGUGCAUUUUGGAUGUUUACUAAACCAGUGUACGUGCUCGGUCAGACUAGGCAUUUUUCUGUUGGUGGUUUGAGGAAUAGCUGCUACCUUUUUAUUUCCUCUCCCUUUUUUGGGAGGAGAAAUUAAAUUUCUGUUUUUGUACUGACUGGAUUAACCAGAUGGUCUAAACAAAUUCAGACUGUGCGGCCUGAUUGGAAGCUGUCAGACAAAAUCCAGGUCAGAAGCUACAGUUCACUGCUCAUAGAGAUAGCACUCUCUAGGAGUAUGAGACAAGACUAUGGCAGUGUCUUGUCAUCAUCUUAUUGUUGGGGUGGAACCCUCAUAUUCUUGUUGCUUCUUUUUUCCAUACAGACAGGAUUUGUGGGAAAGGUGACAGAUAAUUGUUUUUAUUAUUAUUCUAGAUCAUGCUUACAGCUUCUUUUCCAGUCAGACAAUAAAUAAAUGCAUUUUCUGGUGUCUCCUUUAGGGGCGUUUUUUCAUUGUGAUUCUGUUUUUCAAACUAGGAGGAUGAUGUGAAUCCUUCAGCUCUUAGUGAUGCCUGGUAUAUGCCCACUAGAGGUCUUUUCUCCCUUCUGCAGUAAUUUGUGCCUUACAUAUGAUGCUAUGGCAAUUUCAUUCAGGUCAGAAAUGAGCUUGAAUGCAUUCACCUUAGACGCACUGCUGAUGAAAGCUUUGUUGAAACUUAUGGUCUUUAAAACAGCUCCAUCUUGAUGAAACAGGAUGUUUUGAUGAAACUUUAAUUCAUUGACAGCACUUUCAAAUGUAAAUAGCAAACCAAAUUAUCUGGCUUCAGAAAACAUUUGGCAGAGAGAACAAACAUUUUUAGUGUCACCUGAGAUAUUUUAAUAAAAGGUAGAAUAACAAGGAUAGUAGUUGAUAAACUCAGAUUUGGAAUUAUUCCCAACACUUUCCAGUAAGGAAGCCUCAAGUUUUUGAAACAUUAUGUAGCUCAUAAGCACUCACUGGAUGUUCUGUUGGGUUUCAUUUAAUCCCUGCUUAGAUGUAUUCCUCUCCGUUUAGUAGAAAUACAGAGCAAAAACAAGCAAGGGAUGUGCUAUGAUUACCAAUUUAAUCCAAGGGUUUUAUUUCCAUCUUGUUUUCACUCUUUCUUAGAUACAUGCAUUGUCUCAGCUUAGACAAGUGAGUACUUCAGUGAGAGGGCCUUCAUUUUGUUAUAUUUGGUAUCUGUUCUACGUAUUCAUUUGUGACAGACACUACAGUAUGUCAUAAAUACUCAUUACUCAUAAUUUUGUUUGCUAUAUUUUGCUCCAUCAUCUGCUCUCUUUUUCCUAGUUAAAAUAUUAAUUAUACUUCUGGAGUUGCUAGGUACUCCUGAUGUUAGCCUCUGGGCCUGUUGUGUUACACAUUAAACAAACAUACAGUAAAAAAAAGUUUCAGAAUUCAGGGUUGGAUGCAAGGGAAGCAAUGUAUCUGCAAUGUUGGAUGCAAUGUAUCUGGGGAUGUAUUGAAUUAUAAGAACAGUAAGACAAAUUAAUCUGUCCUUACACAUCUGUGUGUUUUAGAUUACAGUUCCUAAAUACUUCAUGCUAUAGCAAGAAGCUCAAUGCUACAAAGCUAGAUUUCUUCAAAUGUAUUUGAAUUGUUUCUCAGUGUUUUCACUGUAAAGCUUACAUUUAAUUCUCAUAGCAUUUUUUUAAGUAUAGGUUAUCCUCUAGGUCUCUAAGUUCCUCAUCAAAACAAACAACUUCACUUUUUAGUCAUGUAUAGGAAUGUGAAGGAAAUGCACCACAUUAAUGAUGCAUAUUAUAGGAAAUCUACAAAAUCUUUGCAUAUUGUAUAAAACUCCUGACUUUCUGUUAGCUAAUAUGUAAAGAAGGCUGGAGGGACUGAAUGUAAGGCAUUGUGUGGGCAAAACAGUGCUAGAACAAAAAAAAAUAGUGCUAGAGGAAAAAAAAUACAUAGAAUUGCUAAGGCUGGAAAAGACCCACAGGAUCAUCCAGUCCAAACAUUUGUGUCAUAUCAUUCAAUGUGAUAUGGUCUGUGCUGGAACAGUUUGUUUUCUACUACCUGUUUUGACUUCGUUUCUAGUACCUGUCAAUAUUGUCCAUGCUUAGGGCCAAUGUAUGUACAACUGUAUGUAGAACAAAGUAUGCUGACUGUUGCACAUAAUGCAACAUAAUUCAUAGUCUCAGGUAUGUCACAACAGGUGAUUUGAAGAUGUGUAUGUAUACAUAUAUACUUAUUCUAGAUUGGAUGUAAAUUCUAGUUGUUAUUGAAGAUAUAUUUUUAAUAUUUUUUAAUAAUUGAAUAUGUGGAAGUGGACAGAGGAAAUCUAACACAAAUGCCAGCAAUACAGAGUAGGAAGAGAAAAUAAACAACCAGAUAACUCUAAUAUAUGAGCAAAACAACACUAGAAACAUGACUCUGAUUGGGUAAAAGCAGGUUGAGAGAGCCUUUUGUUAUUUGAUUCCCUCUAUGUUUGGAUUAACACAACUAUAAUUUCAGAGUGGCCAGAACUGUUGGGUAGUAAUGAAAGAGAUGGUUAGCUAUUCUGCUUAAAGAAAGCAGUGACAACAUAUAACUGGUUGUUAAAUGUGCUGUGUUGAUAAUAACUUUAUCAUUUAGUAGAUUUAAUAUUCAGAGAACUAUAGAAUGGUUUGGAUUGGAAAUGGACAACCCCCCCUGCAAUAGGCAGGGACAUCUCCCUCUAGACCAGGGUUGCUCCAGCCUGGCUUUGAAUGCUUUCAGGGAGGGAGCGUUCACAACCUCACUGGGCAACCUGUUCCAGUGUCUCAGCACCCUUACAGUAAAGAAUUACUUACAGUAAAUAAUUACCUACCCUCUUCCAGUUUAAAGAGGCAUCCCUUCGCCCUGUUGCUACCUGCCCUUUAUAUUUUUUUUCCUGCGAUACUUCUCCUCUGAAGAAAAUUCUGACUAAUUAAUUUUAGUGUCUGAAAAGUUUUGUUUUCUAACCUGAAAGAAGACCUUUUUAUGAUUUCUCAGAAACUCAUACACAGCUUGCACUUUCUACAGAGAUGUACAGACAAUGCUGUAACCUCAGGGCUUAUUUUACUUUUGCAAUUCCAUUCUUUAGUCAGUUUUGUAAAUAUAUAGAAAUUUGAAUCCUUUUUCAAAUGCUACAACAUGAACUUUAGUCACAGAGAACUUUGUUUGCUGAGAAAAAUAAAGCAGAUUGCCAAUCUAUAAGAUUUCUGGCAAAAGCUUAAAAAAAAUGCUGACAUUUUAAAAAUAAAUUAAGGAAGAAAUUAUCUAAUUGAGGUGAGAUUUAUAAUUUAAAAAAAAGAACCUCCAACCAUGCCUCCAGGAGGUAGCUACCAAAUUUGGUCACUGGAUGCAUAUAAUUACAUCACUAGAAAUCCGUAACAUGAGACCUCAGAGAGUUCCGGGGACAGAAGAGGGCCGAGUUCAAUCCGGGUGUUGUCCAUAUAUGGCUGCAAAGGACAGCCGGUGUCUGCGUGGAUGCAGCACAGCCGUCAGCACAGAACUGGGACAAAACAGAGCCACGACAGCGUGCUCCCGCCAGCAGCCUUCUUCUGGGAAUUUCAGGAAUGCCCUCAGCACUUAUUCAGCAGGAAGCUAUCGGUUAAAGGCACACCGCCACGGUUCUGUGCGUUUCUUUACUGAAGAAGCUUGUGUCCCUUUCCAAUAGAUGUUACUUAGUUACAGGGGUAGAUGAUCAUGUGUUUUCUGUAACAUUUAAUCUUUUUAAAUAUGAUCUGCUCUUUCCUACCUAUUUUUACUGCCCACUAUUUACAUAUAAACUAGUGUUGCCUUUUACUUCCCACAUAGUGAAUAUCUAUUUCUGAAACAAAUUUAAUAUGUUUGAGUCUAAUGAGUCAUGAUGAAUAACCAUUUCUUAGUCAUGAGGAAUGCCACAUUAGAAUGAUAAGAAAUGCUUCUGAGAGCAAUUCACAGUGUAUUUCAGAAUGUGAAUGAUUUGACAGAUAAUGAAAAAAAAUAAGUCUGUACCUUGAACAAAUGUUGAUAUUUGUGAAUGGAUAGAUUACUUUACCAAGAGAAGCUGAAGACUUCAAGGCCAUCUGUGAAUGGACUGUCCAGCCUUAUGUGCCCGAAGAAUCAUAAGUACGUUUUGAGUGUUCUACAAAAGCACAUUCCUCAGGUAUUGCAGGUAAGAGUGCUCUAGCCUAAAAGCAAAGGAUAAUAGUCAUAUUAGUUUAAAUGGUACUGAUUACAUGUGUAAAAUUAAACAAGUAAACAAGUCCCAAAGUGCUCUGAAGAGUUGCUAUCUUACAAGCUCAAACCAUUGCAGCAGCUUUAAAUGGAAUGUAUGAGAACAGCACAGACUCAGUGAGAAGUGGAUGAGCUACUGGUCCAAAUCAGGUUUUCUGAGGGGUUUUGUUGUUUUCUGAAUCAAAAUUAUCCUCAGAUUUUUUUAAAUUAAGAGUAGAUUCAGAGUUUAAGUGGUCCCACAGAAAUCCCACACACCUUUACACAAGUUUACUUCCUACACACGUAGAUAUAUGUGCAGGUGUAUAGUGAGCAUUUUCUGUGUACACUCAGUCCUGUGUGCACAACAUAGCUGAAAGGAGAUAAAUCACAUUUUAGAGGCUAUUUUUUUUUUUUUAAACAAUGACAGCAGUAUAUAGCAUACUUUGCUUGUAGAAACUGUGAUCUAACAUCUGACCCAGGGUUAAAACUUCUAUGCAUACCCAGAUACCUAAAUAAUAGCUUUAUUUUAACUGGUCUGGUACUCUGCCAGCUCCUCAUACUUCACCUGGGAGCCAGAUAUUUUACACAUCAGUCAAAAGGUGUUUAUGUGCGCAACUAUAAAUAAAAAAUCCAUUUGAGGAGCAAAGUUUGCAAAAGGCUUUUGAUCUGUAGCAUCACAGUAAAACACAAUAUAUGUAAAGAUGCACAUAUAUAUGUAUCAACUAUAAGGAUCAUUUGCUUUAAAGAUUUGUUUCUUUCAAAAGAGACCAGUUACGGCACCAAUUUCUGCACAGCCAUUGGUUUGAGGACAUUGUCUAUUACUUAAGGAAUGAAUUUCACAUCUCACCUCCUCCAGAACCUUCUUAGCAGCAUGUCUCAUUACACUGGGUUUCCUCUGACACAGAAGGACAGCAGGCCGUGAGUGACAGAAACCUCCCUAAUUGAAGCACAGAAAUAAUCAAAUGCUCCUUUGUUUUUGCCCAAUUUGACAGACCAUCAAGAUGCACUGGGGAACUGGUAUUUCUGUCUACUUCAUUAUGAGAAUAGAAGCCAGGAUACAUCACCUUUGCCUUCCCUCUUUCCAUUUGUAGAGAUUUAUGCAGCUCAUCAUUUGUUAACGGAAUGGUAAAGAGUUAACACACCAUUCUUUCAUAGUAGAAUAGCCUCACGUGUUUUUCAUUUUCUGGUUUGGAAACUCACAGAAAGAUUACCACUGGCAUGUUAUUAAAAAGACUGAUAUGUCUUUGAAGUAGAGUGCUGCCUCUGUCAUCAUCUUUUACCAAAUAAUGGUGCAAACCCUGAUUAAACACUUUUUUUUUUUAAAUGAACUUCACUUUUAGCAUAGGAAAAAAAAAAUGAAAGGUAAUGAUUUGAAAACAAAACACCAAAUACUAUUUUGCAGGAACUGUAUGGCAAAUGGAACGGAACAUGCUAGCUCUACAGGAAACAAAAGUAAGCAAUAAACUAUGUCAUCACUACCUCUGUUCUUUUUUGAUAGAUAGGGAAACAUUAUUGCAAAGUUCAGUAAGUUCAAUAUACAGUCUUAUUGAAUGAAGUGAAAUAGGCAUAAGAAUUGCUGCUUCAUUUUACAUUUUCUUUCAAUGGCAAGUUAUGAGCAUUAGCUAUUGCAAAUCUAGCCAUCUGCUUACAAUCUGUAACUAGAAAGAGUUCUCCACGUGUCUGCACUGAUACAUGUUCAUGUCAGUGCAAUAUAAAGUAACUUAAACUUCUCUUACUUUUUCUCCUCAAUUAGUUGCUCCUUGCUACCAAUCAAUGCAAGGUAUUGAUUCUAAGUAUUGGUAAGGAGUGUUAUUGGCUAUGUUAUAUAGAUAAAACCAUAAGGAGCAGGCCAAAGAACACUGAUGCAUCCAUCCAUAUACUAAUGGUGUGAUUGCACAAGAUCCUAGAGUUUCUUUUGGGCUGCUUUGGCUGCAUGCCCAUUCAACUUGCACUCUCCCAACAUGGCCCAGAUAUAUUGACAACAAACACAGAGGAGUCCAGGAGCUCCAGAAGUUUUUAUACCAGCUAACAGAAAUAAAACAAUUUGGGUAGGACAGUACAGUUUUUCAUUGUUUAGGAAUGUUCAGGAUGCACUAGUAAUCCUGAUGAUCUUAGGGGCAUGGAAUAGUCAUUUAUUAUAGGCCUUUUAUAAAUUUGGCUGCUCCUUUUCAUGUAGUAAAAGACAAAAACAAAAAGGUCUGGAACACAGAUUUGUAAAAUGGAUAUAGCCUUUAAAUAUUGGUUAGGUACAACACUAGAAGACAAUAAUAAAGUAUAAAACACAUGCUUUUAUAUGAGAUCUUACUCUAGAAAUUAUCAGGGUUACCUAGAGCUGAAGUUUAAUUGAACUUUUUCCUUCUAUCUGCUCAAAAGCUGCAAAAUACGAGUAGGAUAGCAAGGAUAAAGGGAAGCCAAGAAAGCUUAGUCUUGAAUCUUUCAUACACUUCUCCUUUAUUCUUGGAGAAAAAAAGGUAUAAACCACUAUAAAUGAAUGGUAAACAGCAUCUAACAAGAACAUCUACCUACCUCCAUCUGGUUUCUGUAUUAAAAUGACUCUUACAUAACAUCCACUGACUUCUUUACUGAAUAGAGGAUAAUUAUUAAAAUAAAUAUUAAAACACGAUUUUGGAGGAUUAACAAAUAGAUACGUAUCUUUAAAAUACUGGGUCAAAUAUUCUGAGUAAAUCUGGAGUAGCUGAUGGUCCCAUUCACGCGCUGUACUUGGAAGAGCUGAAAUACACGCAGUACUUUUUAUAGCUGAGCUCAGAAGUGACAUUUCUCAAAUUUGACAUUACAUGAAUAUCCAAAAGAGCUGAAUGAUACUUUAGUCUGUCUUACUUUGUCUUACUUUACUUCAUGAAACAGCACACACAGCAGAAAAGAUCUGCUGUUCUUCAUGCAGAUUACAUGAAGGGGGCACAUUCUCUGCCUCCUUUCCUUCUCCUAUCUUUCAUCAAAGAAUUAUAUACUGUUAAAGUGGUGCCUAUUUAACGAACUCUUGCAGUAACUUCCUUCAUCCCCCUGAAAGGUUAAAUAUGGAGUGGGACAUAUUUGUUCUCAUAAAGCAGAAACUCAGCUCUUCCAAAAAUUUGUAAUAUUAGAAAAAAAACUUCUUCCUUCUGCUGUGGUUUGUUGAAGCUUGUUUUCUUUCAUGUCUUAUAAUAAGCCAUGGCAUUUAACGAUGCCUUCAAUAAACAUCACUAACAUUUUUUUCCCCUCUCUAGAUGCCAAUGAUUAAUCUUUUCUAUGUUUUCAAAGAACUUGUUUAAUGCCACAACCACAACGACAGCUUCCCACAAAAACAAUUUCUAGCUAAACCCUCCAUUUACUCCAGUAUUUAUUCAAUCAACAGAAGUCAUCUAUUGUCAUACAAGCAACAAAGCUAGCACGUUCAUCAAUUAAUGGAUAUAUUUAGAUACCUUUCUUAAUAUCUCCACCUCCUUUUCUUUGGUUAGGAAGGAUAAAAGUGAUUCUUACGUUCCAGCAAUAGAAGCUGAAAACAGUUUCUUCAAAUGACACGCUGCUCCUUUUUAAAAAUAGGUUGGUAGCAUGGGCCAGACAUGCCACGCAGGGUGGUGCAGUUAGACCACAGUCAAGGCCACGCUGUGCUCUUGUUUUCUCAGUUAGAAAGCACGGCUAGUCAAGGCAGGAAUAACCAUUAUAAAUGUUUCCAGGUCAAAUGUACCAGCUGUUUGUGGGUGAAGGCCUAGGCUUAAGUGAUGAGGUACUGCCAUUUGCACACUUCCUAUAUUUAAGUGUAAUUUACCAUGGUAAACAGGUGGUGCACUUUGGAAAACCAAAAUAUCAUGCUUCUUCAGAGCAUCCCUGACUUUUUCAGCCAGCCUUUCUACAGAAGCUAUGACAAACACUAGAUAUGGCUUCCCCACCUGACACCACUGCUUCAGUGUCUCUUUCAUAAAGAAUUUCUUCACAGUGGAAGCAUUCCUGUUUGUUCCAGUAAGCCUGGUAAUGACAGAAAUGAAUCUUUUCCAACCUAGUUUCCUAAAUGCAUGAGUGCAGAGGGAGGAAUUUAAACACAAACCAGAGCCAUUGACUAUUCAUCAGGGAAACAUUUCAUAUACACAGUGAGGAUUCCUUUACCAAGCUUGUACUUGAAUUGUAUAUUCAAUUUACGUUGUGCAGAGCUCACUGCCCAAAUAUUGUACAGUUUAACGUCCUCUCCCUGACCUUAUUCUUCCUUUGGGAUUCAGCAGAAGAGUAAAUAAAAGCUUCUCAUCUCUCAUGUUGACUGGACCUGACUGCUUCCUUUAUGGCAGGGCUAAGAAAUCUAAAGUUCAUCAGUUCUGACUUCAUGCAAAUUACCACAUAAUUUUUUUUUGAUAUUAAAGUUAGACGUCAUGAAGUACUUGGAAAAUGUAUGGCCUGCUAACCGUGUUUGAAAGGUUUCUUCCAUCCUCAAGAAAGAAAAAAGGUAUUCAUACAUGCUCUAUGGCAACUCAUAAAAAGAAUUCACAAAAUGUGCAUAUGAGCAAAGCCAGGAUGAGGCCCUGACACGCUGGGCACUAAGUCCUCAGCCAGAUAAAACUUCCACUGGCUUUCAUGAAUUGAAAAGAACAUCUGCAGUGCCAAUUUAUAAUCUCAGUGCACCAGUUCACACUCCUAAAAUUACUUUCAACUACCGCUAGAAUUAGUACUAAUUUCAAGAAAUAAGGACACAUUUCAGGCAUUUGAUGCCAAACUGUUUCAGUAACAGUACUUUAAAGUAAUGAGAUUCUGAUCCAAAAGAAGUGGAGAGCAAGAGACUUAAUAGAAUUUCCACUUAUUUUCACCAGGCUUAGCAGCAAGUGAAUUCUGAGCUCAACUCACAAGCAGAGAAUAGCUCCGCUCUGCAGUGAUGGACAGUGGAACCUGUUCGUUUCCUUGUAUGCCUCCUUAUGGUCAGAAGUUCAUUCUCUAAAACCAUGACCAUGGGAAAAAAAAAAGAAGUAUAAAUGUUCCAAUGCAUCCAGGCCUUCUUUGUAAAUCAGAAAUUUACUCCACUGACAGAAAGUCUCUAGUCAUGUAAUUAAAUCAGAUUAUAACUGGUUCUUUACAUUUAUGUUAACCUGAAUAGUGUUGUAUUACUUCAAUCUUUUAAUUCAACAGUGUUCAGAUGUUUGCUUUGCUUUUCAGGACUUUUCAUGUGAGAACUGCAGCAAGGAAUUUGUCAGAGACUGGGAGAGGAAGGCAAAAGAAGCUAAUAUUGAAAUGCAAAUUAUUAUAAGUGAAAGGAUUUUCUCCAUCUUCACUUAGUUUCUGCAGUUUAUAUCCUUAAAAUAAAAAGGAGUAGCUGAAAAUAUGUUACAAUAAAACCCAGUAACUUUGUCUCUUUCAUAUUCUCAGUCUUUGUUUUAUUUGGAGACUGGUACACAGAAUUUUAUCUAUAAAUCAAGCUCUUGGAAAUAAACUUGCUGAAAUCGCAAUCAGAAUCAAAUAUUUAUGUGAUGAUUUUUGUGAGAAGUUCAGUAAACGCGCUGUCAUCAGAUAAAUUCUCAAGAAAACAUAUCAGAUUCUUUUUUCCUCAGCUUGGAAAAAUAUGAUUCAGUCAUGUACAAGAAAAUUAUGCUUAACAAAACAGCUGCCUGAGCAGGCCUGCACAGCAGCACCUCCACCACACUGCCCAGUUUUUUUUCCCCCCAAUUGUUAUGGUGUAACAGUAUUCUUUUGACAUUUCCAACAGCUGACACUUGGACACUCACAGACCUGCUCUGCUGUCCAUCCCCAAACUGAUCCUGUUUGCUCCAUUUCCCCCUUGCUGUUGGUCUCCCUUCCCUGUGCUUUGAGCCAUUUAAGGCUGAUGGCUUCUCGUUCGUCAUCACAAUCACCUUGCCUUCUCCUAACAGAAAAUACAGAUCAUAUA